Long non-coding RNA from Gossypium raimondii (Peruvian cotton), 283 nucleotides. RefSeq lists it as uncharacterized. The transcript has 2 exons. NCBI's taxonomy places the organism in Eukaryota, Viridiplantae, Streptophyta, Magnoliopsida, Malvales, Malvaceae. The record is from RefSeq and is a predicted model, not a curated record.
CAAAACACGACUUGAGACUCUCCAUAAGAUACUUGGUACUCCCACUACUCAUGGAUCUCUAGCAACUCAAGGAACAGAAAUCGGGGAGGAUGAUUGGCACUGCUAAAGUUGAUGAUGGACUAUAUAUUUGGAAUAAAAACAGUACACAAGGGGGAUUGGCUCUAUCCACUGCAAAAGAGGACACUAUUAUGUUAUGGCACCGUAGGUUAGGACAUCCAAACUUUGUGUAUUUGAAAAAACAUCUUCCGCUGUUAUUUCGAAAUAAAAGUAUUAAUUCCUUGAA